RNAcentral lists this ribosomal RNA (497 nucleotides) under uncultured bacterium. Its description in RNAcentral is "partial 16S ribosomal RNA". It matches the Rfam family "Bacterial small subunit ribosomal RNA", at positions 28 to 507 of the family's 1533-position model. The record is from RNAcentral.
GAUGAACGCUGGCGGCGUGCCUAAUACAUGCCAGUCGAGCGAACAGACGAGGAGCUUGCUCCUCUGACGUUAGCGGCGGACGGGUGAGUAACACGUGGAUAACCUACCUAUAAGACUGGGAUAACUUCGGGAAACCGGAGCUAAUACCGGAUAAUAUAUUGAACCGCAUGGUUCAAUAGUGAAAGACGGUUUUGCUGUCACUUAUAGAUGGAUCCGCGCCGCAUUAGCUAGUUGGUAAGAUAACGGCUUACCAAGGCGACGAUGCGUAGCCGACCUGAGAGGGUGAUCGGCCACACUGGAACUGAGACACGGUCCAGACUCCUACGGGAGGCAGCAGUAGGGAAUCUUCCGCAAUGGGCGAAAGCCUGACGGAGCAACGCCGCGUGAGUGAUGAAGGUCUUCGGAUCGUAAAACUCUGUUAUUAGGGAAGAACAAAUGUGUAAGUAACUAUGCACGUCUUGACGGUACCUAAUCAGAAAGCCACGGCUAACUACGUG